AUCACUUCUCGGUCUUUUGGCUAAGAUCAAGUGUAGUAUCUGUUCUUAUCAGUUUAAUAUCUGAUAUGUCCUCUAUCCGAGGACAAUAUAUUAAAUGGAUUUUUGGAGCUGGGAGAUGGAAUAGGAGCUUGCUCCGUCCACUCCACACAUCAACCUGGUAUUGCUGUAUCUUCACUUCCUAGUGGGAACAUA
Molecule: small nuclear RNA, 192 nt
Filed under: Chinchilla lanigera (long-tailed chinchilla)
Lineage: Eukaryota; Metazoa; Chordata; Mammalia; Rodentia; Chinchillidae
Description: U2 spliceosomal RNA (ENSCLAG00000020618.1)
Rfam family: U2 spliceosomal RNA
About the family: U2 is a small nuclear RNA (snRNA) component of the spliceosome (involved in pre-mRNA splicing).
Source: Rfam by way of RNAcentral